RNAcentral lists this ribosomal RNA (494 nucleotides) under uncultured bacterium. Its description in RNAcentral is "bacterial SSU rRNA". It matches the Rfam family "Bacterial small subunit ribosomal RNA", at positions 15 to 507 of the family's 1533-position model. The record is from RNAcentral.
GAUCCUGGCUCAGGAUUAACGCUGCGGCGUGCAUAACACAUUCAAGUCGAACGAAGCACUUUAAACGGAGACUUCGGUCAAAGUUUUCUGUGACUUAGUGGCGGACGGGUGAGUAACGCGUGAGCAACCUGCCUCUGUGUGGGGGACAACGACUGGAAACGGUCGCUAAUACCGCAUAACAUAUUUUUUCCGCAUGGUUUAAAUAUCAAAGAUUUAUCGCACAGAGAUGGGCUCGCGUCUGAUUAGAUAGUUGGCAGGGUAACGGCCUACCAAGUCGACGAUCAGUAGCCGGACUGAGAGGUUGAACGGCCACAUUGGAACUGAGAUACGGUCCAGACUCCUACGGGAGGCAGCAGUGGGGAAUAUUGGGCAAUGGGCGAAAGCCUGACCCAGCGACGCCGCGUGAAGGAAGAAGGCCUUCGGGUUGUAAACUUCUGUUGUAAGGGACGAAACAAAUGACGGUACCUUACGAGGAAGCCACGGCUAACUACGUG